Triticum dicoccoides is the source of this 4174-nucleotide long non-coding RNA. RefSeq lists it as uncharacterized. The transcript is spliced from 3 exons. NCBI's taxonomy places the organism in Eukaryota, Viridiplantae, Streptophyta, Magnoliopsida, Poales, Poaceae. The record is from RefSeq and is a predicted model, not a curated record.
ACUCCAAAAUUGAUGCUACUCGAUAGCUCCCAUCAGCUUGCUCUCUUGAUUUGCUGCCUUGAGGUCGUUCGUGCUCACCUGUAGCCACGUCCGCAGCUGGUGCUUCCAGUGUGGCCAUCGACCGCGGUUGGUGUCCGUGCAAUUGAUUUGGGCGUGGAUAUCGUCUCCCGCAGCUUGCUUGGAUCCAGCUUGAGUGUUAUCCCCAAGUGCGCAGGCUAGGCACAUCGUCGGUAUUCCCGCUCGAGGUAGCCGGCAACAUCGUCGUCAUCCUCCACGGCGUCAACAAUCUCCGAAGUUCGAAGUCCGACCUGCAGAAGAUGAUACCUGCUAGAGGUGUUGUUGUUUUUGGACGCCGGACGGAGUUAAUACUGUAGGUUGCGACGUCGCUGGCUAGUGUUGAUCAGACAAUCCUCAAUAUUACAUACAAUGUUCUUGAAGCACAAUAUUGAUAACUGAAGUAAAGGUAAGUGUCUUACCUCUUGCUAACUUGAAAAUCCUUCUCUGGUGACUUUCACAACACUUGUAAGCCAAGUAAUCAUUUCUGGCAUGGCUUCUUCACCAGGAUAAAAUAUUAGGCAUAACAUCUCACUAUAAAGAACUUCACAACUGCACAAAGAAGAACUAUGCAUUGCUAGGUAGUUGACAUAUAUUUCUUUAAAGUAGUGCAGCUGACAAAACAAUUAUUAGCUUUGGGAGUUAUCUUGAGCAUCAAACUUCUUGCAUCAAACUAUAUGGACUAUUUGCGAGUCUGACUAACAAAUACAUACAUUUGUCAAAUUAAACUUUUGGGGCAGAAAAGUAUGUGGACUGAGAUGUCUAUCAGUACUCUAAUCUAGUAGUGAAUCAAUAGUUUUUUCUCCGAUGCAUAUGCAUAUUUUGUUUUAAUGUACCAUUGUGAUAGAAAAGAAACAUGGUGUGCUUCAUUGUCGAUACAUCAUAUUUUGGCAAUGCACAAAUCAACUUAUAUAUGUGCUAUUAAUUAGAGAAUAGAGGAGUUCGAAGAAAACAAUGAAGACACAUAGAUUGGCCCCCGCCCCCGCGUCGCCCAGCUCGGGUGGCACGGGGGAACCCUAGCCGCAGCGAGCGAGGCCCCUCCCCUGCCCUCACCUAGCGCCGCCGCUGUCGGAGGGCCGGCCGGCGAAGCCGCGCCGGACCCCAGGAAGGUGGCGGCGGGGCGGAUCUGAUCCUCACGCCCCCAAUCCCCCACCUGCAACCCACCACCCACAUAUCCCCCUCCUGGCGGCUGCCUGCUGGCCCGGUGACGCCAGCUCCGGUCCCUCGCCGGCCUGGCCCUCGCCGCUCCGGCCAGCGUUGCCCUUCCCCCUCCGCCCGCCCUUGGCCGCUGCGGACGCCCCCCUCGCGCGCACCUCCUCUCCGCCCGCGCCCCGCGUCCCCGAGAUCCCGUCUGGCGUCUCUCGGGUGCCCUCCACCAACCGCUGCCCAAACUUGCCGGCCGGCGGCAGAUCCGGCGCUCUUGGCCUUGCCAUGGGCGCCCCCCUUUGCAACCUCCCUCUCCACGAUGGCGUGACCCAGCCCUGCUGGUGUUGUUGCCGGGCGUGAGGCCUACGGCUGGAGGUGGAGGCGUCCGCGGCCUGCCUUUCGUGCAGGCGCCCCCCUUCAUCUCCGGUGGCCCUCCCUUUCCCCGAGUCACGGUGACAGCUCUCGUGUGGAGGCAUCGGUGCUUCUGUGGUGUGGCUGGCACGGGCUCCUCGCGGCGGAUCAUUGCUGGUGCUGCUCCGGUCCCGGUUGCCUGGGGCCCGCGUCUCUCCGGUGUCCCCUGCUGCCGGCGUCCUCUGCCGGGCAGCUCCGACCUCGGCGACCAUGUGGCUGCGUCCCCUCCAGCUCACUCGGCUUGCCGACGUCACGGCGGCUAAGGCCACGGCAGCUCAGAUCUACGUCCCUCCAGUCCUAGCUUGCCGGCGCUGCUGGACGCCGCCGCCCCAGAUCUGCUCGCGAGGUUUUGCUUCGUCUCCAGCCCUACCCUGUAUGCCUCAAGGCUCCACCUUUUGCCAGAUCCAGUGCUCGUGGGUUCGUGGGCGAUGCCACCCACCGACGGCAAGUGCAGCCCUGCCAACCCCCUCCAGACAUGGUAGUUCCGACCAACUUUGGCUUCCACAACUUCAAUUCCGGACUAGGCGGCUAUGGGAUUGCUCAGCUUCAGGCCAGGGAGAGAUCCCUGCUCGUCUUGCGGUGCUGGCAGCGGCGGCGCCCGCGGGUGUCGCUUCCUUCUUGGAGGCGUUGUCAAGGUCUUCAGCUGCGCCCCUCUUCGAGCUCAGGGGAAACCCUAGGUCCGACUCCCUCGGACCGGAUAUCGAUGGCGUCCCGGCGUCGUCUUCCUUCUUGAAGGCGUUAUCUUGCGAGCUCGCGGUGUCCCCGAUUCUGGCUUGGUAGAUGUUGGAAUUCUUGUGUUGGUUCGGCGUUGCCGCUUGGUUCGGGUUUGGUAGGUCUAGUUGUGAUGUAUCCUCCGUUCGGGCCGAGCAUCCCCUUCUCUCUGCUCCGGGCACCAUGUUCACGCCUGCCCGCGUCCGUGUCAUGUGUUGUACCCCCUUUGUACUCAUUCUACUUCUUCUAUCAAUGGAAAGAUACGCAAGCUUUGCGUAUUCGCGAAAAAAAAGAAAACAAUGAAAGGGGGUAUAUGCAAAUGAUGGGUGCUAUAUCUUCGUAAUGCAUAUGAACUUCUAGGUGUGCUACAAAGUAUUAUUAAUUAAAGAACAGAACAAAUCCUAGAAAAAAGAGGAGGUUGAUGUGACAGUCACCAGUCACCUGAGAGGGGCUAGCGCAGCGCAAUCAGGGCCGGCCCCGGGCCAGGGCAGCAGGGGUGACGGCCCGGGGCCCAGUCAUAUUAGGGGCCCCGACCUAGUGCUGCUAUAUAUAGAUAUGGGCCUUGAUGAAAUGCUAAAUAAAAAAGAAAGAUUCUGUAGGCAGGGAGGCCUAUCUCCAGCAGAAGCCCAACUGUGAAGGCAGGCAGGCACGCACACGGGCACAAGGGCAGUUGCUCAGAAAAAAAAGGGGGCACAAGGCCAACAACAACCCGCUGAGAAUGAGACCACAAUUGAGGAAAACAAUGCCCAUAUGAGACUCCUAUAAAUAUUUGAGUGGCUGUGAGAAUCCUGCAAGUGUAGAUGAACAAGGAUCUUCUCCUUUUGAUAUCUAUGACCCUAGAAACUGGGACACUCUUGACAAUAAAUCAAGAGAUAUUCUGAUUAUAAAAAGGGCAUACAAGGGAACAAAAUCUUGUGUUUGAAAUAGACUACAUUUAUCUUGACAGUUUCAUUUCAUGAUUUUGCAUCAAAAAAUGCACAGAGCCGUUUCUCAUGAUUACUGGAGGCUUGGAGGUUCGCUAGUAUGUCAUUUCUUUUCUGUUAUGCUCCAUGACUUUUAUGAUGUUUGAUUUACACCUAAAGUAUGAAAUUGUUAUUUAUGACUUGGAGUGAUAUUUACCAAGGAAAAUUACCGUUGUUUAUUAUAGCUUUGCAAUAUAUUUUUUAUCAAUGUAUGGAAUCAAUUUUUUCCUCCAAUGCUGUCACUGGGCCCAUUCAUUUGAGUUCGCCCCGGGGCCCCCGAAACUCCAGGACCGGCGCUGAGCGCAAUUCCAAUGAAGAUGGUGGACAUGCUAGGGAACGCUAGUUCCUAUAUACUGAUUCGUCCAGUCCGACACCUGCGUCCAGCAGCCGUCCAUGCUUGUGAUGGAAGAGGCCGGUGUUCAGCCCCUGGUGAAGGUCGUGAAGUUCAUGGUGUACCUCUGAGUCCAAGCCGUCGCUAUGUGGAUGGAAUUUCAAAAUCCAAGACAUCGUGUACGUCUGCGUCCAAGUUGUCGCUAUGUUGGAUGGAACUUCAAAAUCCAGGGCAUCAUGGAGUUGUGGAGAAGAACAAUGCUAGGAUUCUCUCGAGGAAGUUUUUUCUCUCGAGGGAGUUUUGGUGCAUGGGUGGAGCAGGAAACCCCAAUGAUAUCUUCAAGCAGAUAUUUAUUUCCAGUAAAAUAUGGGUACGGAGGACAACUUCCUUUUUUGAGUCGGGAUGUAAUUUUAUUCUUUUUCAUACCUUCCUAUGUAAGGGACGUGAACGGUCUUUUUUAAAAGAUCUUCCUAUGUAUGGGAUCUGAGAGAUCCGAUUCUACUUCCUUUUUUGAGUUGGGAUGUAAUAAUUAUGGGAUUUUUAAAGAUCUUCUUGUGUA